UUUUAUCCAAGCUUUUAAUAAAAUUUAUCAAUCUAAGUUUUUUUAAAACGGGCCCAAACCCUAACCCAAAAAAAUAGAAGGCCCAUGGCCCAAAACUUAAACAAAUUUUCGGAUGGAAAAACCCUAGCCCCUAGCCUUUGCGCCGCGAAGCUCCUCACGUAGUUUCAGCACCUUCUCCGCUGCAACGCUACCACAAACCUACAAACAAGCGAAAACAGACACAAAGAAGACCAAAGAAACAGCAAAAGCAAACAAGGCAUAAAUAUAUUAUAUUUUCUGGCUAUAUAAGCUAAGAACACCAAUGUAAAAGGGGGGACUUUUUAAAAAGAAAAAAAUCAAAAAGCAAAAAAAAAAAGGGCUAUCAAUACAAAGAUUAUUAAUCAAAGAAACAUUUCAAAAGGUGUUUCAUUUUUGUUCAUUUCCUAUCUUUAUUGUUUAUUUAUUUAUUUAUUUCAAAUCUAUCUCAUAAAUAUAUAAAAAAGGGAAAUAUUUUACCCGUAUUUUGGCGUUGAUAUCCACGGCGUCCGCUUCUCUGGUCCGAAAGUCGACGGAUCCCCAGUGAUCCGGUUAAAGCUUCGACGGUGGAGGCUAAGAGUCGGAAGUUUUGUGUUUGAUUUAGGGGUUUUCAGGUCCUGAACUUUCUUCCAUGUGAAAGAAGGGUUUAAAUUGGGCUCCGGGCGUCUCUCUGGCCACCACCGGAGGUGGUCAUCGUCGCCGGUACGAUGGGAGGCCAAUGGAGGCUAAUGGAACCCUAGGGCCUGCUUUAGAGAGAAAUGGGGAAUACCCCCUGUUGUUUUUU
This 799-nucleotide long non-coding RNA is filed under the name Gossypium barbadense (sea-island cotton). Its description in RNAcentral is "long non-coding RNA (GBAR_LNC011703)". The record is from RNAcentral. Lineage: Eukaryota; Viridiplantae; Streptophyta; Magnoliopsida; Malvales; Malvaceae.